This 226-nucleotide ribosomal RNA is filed under the name Staphylococcus aureus. RNAcentral's name for it is "partial 16S ribosomal RNA". It matches the Rfam family "Bacterial small subunit ribosomal RNA", at positions 1 to 216 of the family's 1533-position model. Lineage: Bacteria; Bacillati; Bacillota; Bacilli; Caryophanales; Staphylococcaceae. The record is from RNAcentral.
UUUAUGGAGAGUUUGAUCCUGGCUCAGGAUGAACGCUGGCGGCGUGCCUAAUACAUGCAAGUCGAGCGAACGGACGAGGAGCUUGCUUCUCUGAUGUUAGCGGCGGACGGGUGAGUAACACGUGGAUAACCUACCUAUAAGACUGGGAUAACUUCGGGAAACCGGAGCUAAUACCGGAUAAUAUUUUGAACCGCAUGGUUCAAAAGUGAAAGACGGUCUUGCUGUC